This 73-nucleotide transfer RNA is filed under the name Stegodyphus mimosarum. It matches the Rfam family "tRNA". From Rfam's summary of the family: Transfer RNA (tRNA) molecules are approximately 80 nucleotides in length. Their secondary structure includes four short double-helical elements and three loops (D, anti-codon, and T loops). The record is from Rfam by way of RNAcentral. Lineage: Eukaryota; Metazoa; Arthropoda; Arachnida; Araneae; Eresidae.
GCCUUCGUGGUGUAGUGGUCUGCAUGCUCAAUGUGUAAUCGAGAGGUCCGUGGUUCGAUUCCCGGCGAAGGCG